ACUCAACACUUAAUCAUUUAAGAAGGGUGAGUCUGGAUUGUAAAAGCGCGCCGUUACCGUUUACGGUACUACGGAUUCUUGAUCAGUCCUUUAGCCCUAAUCCUGUUUAAUAGGAGUUU
RNAcentral lists this small RNA (119 nucleotides) under Cytophagaceae bacterium. Its description in RNAcentral is "6S RNA". It matches the Rfam family "6S-Flavo RNA". The record is from RNAcentral. Lineage: Bacteria; Pseudomonadati; Bacteroidota; Cytophagia; Cytophagales; Cytophagaceae.